Molecule: RNA transcript, 1448 nt
Organism: Pogoniulus pusillus (Red-fronted tinkerbird)
Lineage: Eukaryota; Metazoa; Chordata; Aves; Piciformes; Lybiidae
Gene name: protein disulfide-isomerase TMX3-like
Exons: 5
Source: RefSeq, a predicted model, not a curated record
CUCAAACCCCCCUGGGGCCCCCCCGAAGCCCCUCUGGGACUCUCCAAAACCCCCCAGCCCCUUCCCCCGCUCCCCCCCGAGCCCUCUCGGACCCCUCCCGGGACCCCCCAACUCCGCCUAAGACCCCCCCGGGGCUGGGUACAGCCGCAGCAGCUCGCUCCGCGCCGCCAUCUUGCCUCCGUGCCGUCACUUCCGGCUGGCAGGCGACGCUCUGGGCUCUCCUCUCGCUGGUCAAAGCCGCUCUAGGCCUCCGAGGUCCUCCAGGCGCCACUGCGAGCGGCUCCGGGCCAAAGCAAUGACUGUGCUCAGCUGCAGGGAUGGAUUUGCCUGCACUCAAGCUGCUGCUGCCAGAGCCCCUCCGUGUCAAUCUGUGCUGCCGUUGGGUUCUGCAGCUCUCUCCAGCAAGCAUGGCAUGAGCUGAAGGAGCAGCAGGAGCAGCAUGGCCGUUCCCCAGGCAGCAGGAGGGUUCAGCCCAGCACCAGCUCAUGCGGGAGGAGCAGAUGCUGAGGAACAUCCCCCACGAGACGCAGGUGGCCAAAGAGGCUGGGUCAGGAGAGUCCCAUUUCAUUCUUGAUGCUUUCUUUAAGAGAGGCAUACAACUGAGCUCCCUCAGAGAAGCAGCAUGAAGUGCAUGAAGGAUGCUGGCUGCACUCAGUACAGACAAGGCACAUUGGAUUGACUACUUCUUCUCUGGCCUUUGGAGUGAAGGAAGGGAAAAACCAGAGUUGAAGAUGUCAGCUCUGUAAGUUUUCUCUGGGUGAUCAAAGCAUGCACAACAUCCUGUGCUUGUGCUCUGGAAGAUUCUAGGAGCUUCACGGGGACUCAGGGAGCACAAGUUCUGGAUUUCUGUGGGCUGUCUCUAGAUGAACACCUGAGUGCAGUGAAUCUAAAAGCAGCUGUCUCUCAUUUGAAGUUAAAGUGAUGUGACUGAUCUGGUGCUUUAUAGGUGCCAAAAAGGAGACCUUCUUCACCUGCUUCUCCUGUGCAAGCUCUUCUGUCUGUCUGCUGAGAUGUUUCUGCCUGUUUCUCUGGCAGAGAAGUGUUUGCUUUUUGGGCUGGCGAGCUGACCAUCCGUACUACCGUCGCCUUGAAUGCCUCCAACCAGCAGUGUUUGCUGCCAGACAGACACCUGGAGAAGACAGAGGACAUGGUUAAGUUCAUGAAGGAUAUCUUGGAUGGUGCUGCUGAAGCACAGGCUGGUGAUGGACUUCUGCAACGAAGCAAGAGAGUCCUCUAUGAGGCCAAGGCUGCUGUAAUGGUAGAGUUCAUUGCUUAUUCAGUGAGGUGAUGCUCUUGUCAGUCAAGAAGGACUUAGUUGCAGAGGCUUUAGAAAUGCUUUGAUGUAAGCUUGUUGCUAUGCUGUGCCUAGUGUAUCUAUUGUCACUAUUUAGAACUAGGCUUAAACCAAAUGAACUUCUGGAUUAAAACAGCCAAUCAUGUCUGCCACA